This is a long non-coding RNA of Gordionus sp. m RMFG-2023, 499 nucleotides long. RefSeq lists it as uncharacterized. Lineage: Eukaryota; Metazoa; Nematomorpha; Gordioida; Chordodea; Parachordodidae. The transcript is spliced from 2 exons. The record is from RefSeq and is a predicted model, not a curated record.
UGUGUUUCAUUGUUCGGAAAAACCCGUAGUGGGAGAUUGGGAGAUAUUGGAUUUGAUGUCAGCUGUGGACCUUUGGAUGUCAUCUGUGGACCUUUGAGAAAUGAAGAAUUGGAUAAUUAUAUUAUAUUAUAUUUUUCUACAUAUUUUAUGUUAGAUUGUUGUGGUUUUAUUGGAAAUAAAGAUAAUUAUGUUAAAUAUGGAUCGUUGUUAAUGGUCAAUGGUAUUUAUUUAAUAUUAUUAGAAAGAAUUAUUUUGGGUUGUUAAGUUAUAUAAUUGAGAGUAAAGGGCAUUUUUAUUAUAUUUAAGGUAACUUUUUUUAUUGUUGCCAGCUGACCAAGAUCGAAAGAGUGGGUUGAUUCGGUUUUAAAGUAUUCCGUCAUAGGAAGCUGAAAGACCUCAUGAACAGCAGGACAGAAAGGAUUGUUAAAUAUUUAAAUAUGUGAAAUUUAUGAAAAUAUAUAUGGAUAUAGACUUUUGUAAUAAAGUGUGUAUUAUUUAA